GACGAACGCUGGCGGCGUGCUUAACACAUGCAAGUCGAACGGAAAGGCCCUGCUUUUGUGGGGUGCUCGAGUGGCGAACGGGUGAGUAACACGUGAGUAAAACGCCCCUGUCAUUGGGAUAACUUCAGGAAAAAGGGGCUAAUACAGGAUAGGAGCUCUUGCUGCACGGUGGGGGUUGGAAAGAUUCGGCGGUUGGGGAUGGACUCGCGGCUUAUCAGCUUGUUGGUGAGGUAGUGGCUUACAAAGGCUUUGACGGGUAGCCGGCCUGGGAGGGUGACCGGGCACAUGGGGACUGAGAUACGGCCCAGACUCCUACGGGAGGCAGCAGGGGGGAGUAUUGCACAAUGGCCGGAAGCCUGAGGCAGCGACGCCGCGUUCGGGAUGACGGGCUUCGAGUUGUGAACCUCUUUCGCCUGUGACGAGGCGUGAGUGACGGUAAUGAGUAAGAAAGCACCGGCUAACUACGUG
Molecule: ribosomal RNA, 468 nt
Filed under: uncultured bacterium
Lineage: Bacteria
Description: partial 16S ribosomal RNA
Rfam family: Bacterial small subunit ribosomal RNA
Source: RNAcentral